This 250-nucleotide ribosomal RNA is filed under the name uncultured bacterium. RNAcentral describes it as "partial 16S ribosomal RNA". It matches the Rfam family "Bacterial small subunit ribosomal RNA", at positions 524 to 773 of the family's 1533-position model. The record is from RNAcentral.
UACGGAAGGUGCGAGCGUUAAUCGGAAUUACUGGGCGUAAAGCGCGCGUAGGCGGCUUGGUAAGUCGGAUGUGAAAGCCCCGGGCUCAACCUGGGAACUGCAUUCGAUACUGCCGGGCUGGAGUACGAAAGAGGGGGGUGGAAUUCCAGGUGUAGCGGUGAAAUGCGUAGAGAUCUGGAGGAACACCGGUGGCGAAGGCGGCCCCCUGGUUCGAUACUGACGCUGAGGUGCGAAAGCGUGGGGAGCAAAC